This 264-nucleotide ribosomal RNA is filed under the name uncultured Prevotella sp. RNAcentral describes it as "partial 16S ribosomal RNA". It matches the Rfam family "Bacterial small subunit ribosomal RNA", at positions 92 to 356 of the family's 1533-position model. Lineage: Bacteria; Pseudomonadati; Bacteroidota; Bacteroidia; Bacteroidales; Prevotellaceae. The record is from RNAcentral.
CGACCGGCGCACGGGUGAGUAACGCGUAUCCAACCUUCCCAUUACUGUGGGAUAACCUGCCGAAAGGCAGACUAAUACCGCAUAGUCUUCGAUGACGGCAUCAGAUUUGAAGUAAAGAUUUAUCGGUAAUGGAUGGGGAUGCGUCUGAUUAGCUUGUUGGCGGGGUAACGGCCCACCAAGGCGACGAUCAGUAGGGGUUCUGAGAGGAAGGUCCCCCACAUUGGAACUGAGACACGGUCCAAACUCCUACGGGAGGCAGCAGUG